RNAcentral lists this ribosomal RNA (253 nucleotides) under uncultured bacterium. Its description in RNAcentral is "partial 16S ribosomal RNA". It matches the Rfam family "Bacterial small subunit ribosomal RNA", at positions 524 to 776 of the family's 1533-position model. The record is from RNAcentral.
UACGUAGGGUGCAAGCGUUGUCCGGAAUUAUUGGGCGUAAAGAGCUCGUAGGCGGUUUUUCGCGUCUGCUGUGAAAACUCGGGGCUUAACCCCGGGCCUGCAGUGGGUACGGGCAGACUAGAGUGCGGUAGGGGAGACUGGAAUUCCUGGUGUAGCGGUGAAAUGCGCAGAUAUCAGGAGGAACACCGGUGGCGAAGGCGGGUCUCUGGGCCGUAACUGACGCUGAGGAGCGAAAGCAUGGGGAGCGAACAGG